Molecule: ribosomal RNA, 476 nt
Filed under: uncultured organism
Description: partial 16S ribosomal RNA
Rfam family: Bacterial small subunit ribosomal RNA
Source: RNAcentral
ACACUCCUACGGGAGGCAGCAGUGGGGAAUAUUGCACAAUGGGCGCAAGCCUGAUGCAGCCAUGCCGCGUGUAUGAAGAAGGCCUUCGGGUUGUAAAGUACUUUCAGCGGGGAGGAAGGCGAUAAGGUUAAUAACCUUGUCGAUUGACGUUACCCGCAGAAGAAGCACCGGCUAACUCCGUGCCAGCAGCCGCGGUAAUACGGAGGGUGCAAGCGUUAAUCGGAAUUACUGGGCGUAAAGCGCACGCAGGCGGUCUGUCAAGUCGGAUGUGAAAUCCCCAGGCUCAACCUGGGAACUGCAUUCGAAACUGGCAGGCUAGAGUCUUGUAGAGGGGGGUAGAAUUCCAGGUGUAGCGGUGAAAUGCGUAGAGAUCUGGAGGAAUACCGGUGGCGAAGGCGGCCCCCUGGACAAAGACUGACGCUCAGGUGCGAAAGCGUGGGGAGCAAACAGGAUUAGAAACCCCAGUAGUCCCAUGA